This 352-nucleotide long non-coding RNA is filed under the name Homo sapiens (human). RNAcentral describes it as "non-protein coding lnc-BTBD2-2:2". The record is from RNAcentral. Lineage: Eukaryota; Metazoa; Chordata; Mammalia; Primates; Hominidae.
AAGAGAGAUGGCGCUCGGGACGGAAGGGUUCCCUGCCCUGCCCCAGGAGCCUGCAUGGGAGAAGGCGUGAGGAGGUGAAGGAAGCUUAUGGUACCUGCACACCGACAGGCUGGAGCGCGAGAGAUCUUGCUCUGUUGCCCAGGCUGGAGGGCAGUGGUGGAGUCAUAGCUCAUCAAAAGCUCAACCUUCCAGGCUCAAGUGAUGCUUCCGUCUCAGCCUUCUGAGUAGCUGGGACAACAGGUUCGUGCUGGCCGUGGGCAGCGCCGUCUUUGAUGCCAUGUUCAACGGGGGAAUGGCCACAACAUCCACGGAGAUUGAGCUGCCCGACGUGGAACCCGCUGCCUUCCUCGCA